CAGAAAAAUAACUAUAAAAAAUGCCUGCUUUAGAUGAUUUACCAAAUGUAUCCAGCUUCUUUGGGAUUGAUUUGAAAACAGGAUCAAUGAUUAUAGCAGCCUUGGGUAUCGUACACCCAAUGGCUUACGGCUGUUCAUUCUUCGUUCCUCUGAGCUAUCUUCUAGUGACAGUAUGGAUAUUGGUAGCUCUAUAUUUCGCAGCAAGCAUAGUUCUGUUUUGGGGAUUAACAAACGAUGACACUUACCUAUGUGCAAUAUGGAUAUGGUAUGCGUUAAUUUUUGUGGUGGUGAUGUUAAUGAUGAUGAUGUUGUUGGCUCUGGUCUUCACCUCCAGGAAACAGAGGAAUCGAGUAGUCGUCGUCUUAUUUGGCAUUCUAUGGU
This is a long non-coding RNA of Pieris rapae (cabbage white), 381 nucleotides long. RefSeq lists it as uncharacterized. The record is from RefSeq and is a predicted model, not a curated record. Lineage: Eukaryota; Metazoa; Arthropoda; Insecta; Lepidoptera; Pieridae. The transcript has 3 exons.